Molecule: small RNA, 300 nt
Filed under: uncultured bacterium
Lineage: Bacteria
Description: bacterial SSU rRNA
Rfam family: Bacterial small subunit ribosomal RNA
Source: RNAcentral
AAGCAGCGAUGUUUUCUUAGCGGCGAACGGGUGAGUAACGCGUUGGUGACCUGCCCCGGAGAGUGGGAUAACAGUUCGAAAGGACUCUUAAUACCGCAUGGGGUCGAGAGGAUUAGAGGCCUCUUGAUCAAAGGAGCAAUUCGCUCCGGGAGGGACCUGCGUCCCAUCAGCUAGUUGGCAGGGUAACGGCCUACCAAGGCGGGGAAGGGUAGGGGGCCUGAGAGGGUGGUCCCCCACACGGGCACUAUUAGACGGGCCCGAGACAUACGGGAGGCAGUUUUCUCAUCUGCAGGUAAACUC